This 456-nucleotide ribosomal RNA is filed under the name uncultured bacterium. RNAcentral's name for it is "bacterial SSU rRNA". It matches the Rfam family "Bacterial small subunit ribosomal RNA", at positions 44 to 518 of the family's 1533-position model. The record is from RNAcentral.
GUGCCUAACACAUGCAAGUCGAGCGAGGAGAUUCCUCGGGAUGAUCCUAGCGGCGGACGGGUGAGUAACACGUGGGCAACCUGCCUCAUAGAGAGGAAUAGCCUUCCGAAAGGAGAUUAACACCUCAUAACAUUGCAGUUUCGCAUGAAACAGCAAUUAAAGGAGCAAUCCGCUAUGAGAUGGGCCCGCGGCGCAUUAGCUAGUUGGUGAGGUAACGGCUCACCAAGGCGACGAUGCGUAGCCGACCUGAGAGGGUGAUCGGCCACAUUGGGACUGAGACACGGCCCAGACUCCUACGGGAGGCAGCAGUGGGGAAUAUUGCACAAUGGGGGAAACCCUGAUGCAGCCAACGCCGCGUGAGUGAUGACGGCCUUCGGGUUGUAAAGCUCUGUCUUCAGGGACGAUAAUGACGGUACCUGAGGAGGAAGCCACGGCUAACUACGUGCCAGCAGCAGC